Molecule: long non-coding RNA, 525 nt
Organism: Culex quinquefasciatus (southern house mosquito)
Lineage: Eukaryota; Metazoa; Arthropoda; Insecta; Diptera; Culicidae
Exons: 2
Source: RefSeq, a predicted model, not a curated record
CUCUCUUCCGCUGGCCGGAUUUGACUCAAUUUUGGAAUAAGGAAGUCUUAUUUCCAAUAAAUUUAGAAUGUUGCCACAGAUUUCUCGAAAACGCAAGGGGAAAACCACUCUGCUCAUUGCCCUCGAGUAGGCUGUGCCCUAAAGUUGCCCAAACGUGCCCGAAGGUGCCCGAGUGAGCCCUGAAGCCAAGAAAAAACUGGUCGGUGCUUAGCAACCGUGUUACUUUGUUUGUUUAUAUAGUUUGAACAAAUCUGUCAGUGUUGAUUUUUUGGUUUUGCUUAGAUGAAAUUAAUUUUCAUCUUUGAUUCGCUGGAAUAAUUCUAAUGUUGCAAAUUUUGCUCACUUCUUUUUGGAAAAAAAAUAAACAAACCACUAAGAAGUGGUCCCGCCCAGCAAAUUCUGUUAAUGAAUAUUUCAGCGAUGACCCGAAGCUGGUUCCAGAACUAAACAAUUCGUAGACGAACGUGGCUGAAUAGUGUGUGUUUCGACAAAAUCACCAUCAGUUCAAUAAAAUUUAACGAAAAA